CCACUCCUUCAUGGCCUCCUCAUCCUUCAGCUUGAAAGCUACUUCUACUCGAGCAUAUCCUUCGAACCGAGCCAGUAAAUCAGCAAAGUCCCUGGGAUACUUUUUUUCAAAAAAAAUAAAAGGUCAUUCUUUUGAAGACCGCACUUCAGGGUGGCCAUUACAACUGAUUGGUCCAAGUUUCGGACCUCCAAUGUGGUGGCAUUAAAAUGGUUGACAUAAGUUCAGAUGGAUUCUCUUUUCUUUUGCUUGAUGUUGAUGA
RNAcentral lists this long non-coding RNA (259 nucleotides) under Elaeis guineensis (African oil palm). RNAcentral's name for it is "long non-coding RNA (EGUI_LNC041163)". Lineage: Eukaryota; Viridiplantae; Streptophyta; Magnoliopsida; Arecales; Arecaceae. The record is from RNAcentral.